UGGUUCUGGCAUCGAUGAAGAACGCAGCGAAAUGCGAUAAGUAAUGUGAAUUGCAGAAUUCAGUGAAUCAUCGAAUCUUUGAACGCACAUUGCGCCCCCUGGUAUUCCGGGGGGCAUGCCUGUUCGAGCGUCAUUACAACCCUCAAGCUCUGCUUGGUCUUGGGUGGCACCGCCUCGCGGUGCGCCUUAAAAUUAGUGGCGGCGCCGUCUGGCUCUAAGCGUAGUAACACACUCUCGCUAUAGAUGCCCGGCGGAGGCUAGCCAGCAACCCCCCAAUCAUCAAGGUUGACCUCGGAUCAGGUAGGGAUACCCGCUGA
RNAcentral lists this unclassified non-coding RNA (317 nucleotides) under uncultured fungus. RNAcentral describes it as "partial contains 5.8S ribosomal RNA and internal transcribed spacer 2". The stretch from base 1 to 133 matches the Rfam family "5.8S ribosomal RNA", at positions 22 to 154 of the family's 154-position model. Lineage: Eukaryota; Fungi. The record is from RNAcentral.